This 219-nucleotide unclassified non-coding RNA is filed under the name Glomeraceae sp. Its description in RNAcentral is "partial contains 5.8S ribosomal RNA and internal transcribed spacer 2". The stretch from base 1 to 71 matches the Rfam family "5.8S ribosomal RNA", at positions 84 to 154 of the family's 154-position model. Lineage: Eukaryota; Fungi; Glomeromycota; Glomeromycetes; Glomerales; Glomeraceae. The record is from RNAcentral.
GUGAAUCAUCGAAUCUUUGAACGCAAAUUGCACUCCCUGGUAUUCCGGGGAGUAUGCCUGUUUGAGGGUCGUUAGUAGAAAAAUCGAAUGAUCGCUCUUUUUUUUUAGGCUGAUCGCGUCGGAAUUGAGCCGUCUGUCAAAUGUUAAUUCAUGUCAAAGUGGCUUAAAAUUCACCCUUCCGUUACGAUUAAAGCGUAUUUAAGACCACUUUUGAUUCAG